UACAUGGGGUGCAAACGUUGCUCGGAAUUAUUGGGCGUAAAGCGCACGUAGGCGGUUUGUUAAGUCGGAUGUGAAAUCCCUCGGCUCAACUGAGGAAGUGCACCCGAAACUGGCAGGCUUGAGUACUAAAGAGGGUCGCGGAAUUCCCGGUGUAGAGGUGAAAUGCGUAGAUAUCGGAAGGAACAUCAGUGGCGAAGGCGACUUCCUGGACCAAUACUGACGCUCAGGUGCGAAAGCGUGGGGAGCAAACAGG
RNAcentral lists this ribosomal RNA (253 nucleotides) under uncultured bacterium. RNAcentral's name for it is "partial 16S ribosomal RNA". It matches the Rfam family "Bacterial small subunit ribosomal RNA", at positions 524 to 776 of the family's 1533-position model. The record is from RNAcentral.